This 319-nucleotide unclassified non-coding RNA is filed under the name Hevea brasiliensis (rubber tree). Lineage: Eukaryota; Viridiplantae; Streptophyta; Magnoliopsida; Malpighiales; Euphorbiaceae. The record is from RNAcentral.
GUUUUCAAGCUUCUUCCUCUCUCUCCUUCUUCUCCUCCCUUCCUCUGCUCUUUCCUUCGCCAAUGAUACUUCUUACUUCAUAGAUUGCGGNCUCCAUUAACUCUACUGACCCCUUCAACACUACCUGGCUUUCUGACCGCUUCUUCACCGGCGGCCUCACUUCUGUCGUCUCUGAGCCCCUCCACUUCCGCUUCCCCCAAGAGAAGACCCUUCGCUUUUUCCCUCUCUCUUCUGGCAAGAAGAAUUGCUACAUUAUACCACUCCCUAAUGGCCGUUACUAUAUCCGUACUCUUACCGUCGUAGUUGUCAUAGACGGUAA